Molecule: transfer RNA, 74 nt
Filed under: Borrelia miyamotoi
Lineage: Bacteria; Pseudomonadati; Spirochaetota; Spirochaetia; Spirochaetales; Borreliaceae
Description: tRNA-Met
Rfam family: tRNA
About the family: Transfer RNA (tRNA) molecules are approximately 80 nucleotides in length. Their secondary structure includes four short double-helical elements and three loops (D, anti-codon, and T loops). Further hydrogen bonds mediate the characteristic L-shaped molecular structure. tRNAs have two regions of fundamental functional importance: the anti-codon, which is responsible for specific mRNA codon recognition, and the 3' end, to which the tRNAs corresponding amino acid is attached (by aminoacyl-tRNA synthetases). tRNAs cope with the degeneracy of the genetic code in two manners: having more than one tRNA (with a specific anti-codon) for a particular amino acid; and 'wobble' base-pairing, i.e. permitting non-standard base-pairing at the 3rd anti-codon position.
Source: RNAcentral
CGCAGGGUGGAGCAGUUUGGUAGCUCGUCGGGCUCAUAACCCGAAGGUCGUAGGUUCAAAUCCUAUCCCUGCUA